This 253-nucleotide ribosomal RNA is filed under the name uncultured bacterium. Its description in RNAcentral is "partial 16S ribosomal RNA". It matches the Rfam family "Bacterial small subunit ribosomal RNA", at positions 524 to 776 of the family's 1533-position model. The record is from RNAcentral.
UACGUAGGUGGCAAGCGUUGUCCGGAUUUAUUGGGUUUAAAGGGUGCGUAGGCGGCCCUGUAAGUCAGUGCUGAAAUACCCCGGCUUAACCGGGGGGGUGGCAUUGAUACUGCAGGGCUUGAGUACAGAUGAGGUAGGCGGAAUUGACGGUGUAGCGGUGAAAUGCGUAGAUAUCAGGAGGAACACCGGUGGCGAAGGCGCCUAUCUGGCCCGAUACUGACGCUGAGGCGCGAAAGCUAGGGGAGCAAACGGG